This 379-nucleotide ribosomal RNA is filed under the name uncultured Alphaproteobacteria bacterium. Its description in RNAcentral is "bacterial SSU rRNA". It matches the Rfam family "Bacterial small subunit ribosomal RNA", at positions 9 to 410 of the family's 1533-position model. Lineage: Bacteria; Pseudomonadati; Pseudomonadota; Alphaproteobacteria. The record is from RNAcentral.
GAGUUUGAUCAUGGCUCAGAUUGAACGCUGGCGGCAGGCUUAACACAUGCAAGUCGAACGCCCCGCAAGGGGAGGUGGCAGACGGGUGAGUAACGCGUGGGAAUCUACCCAGUUCUACGGAACAACUGAGGGAAACUUCAGCUAAUACCGUAUACGCCCUACGGGGGAAAGGAUUUAUUCGGAAUUGGAUGAGCCCGCGUUGGAUUAGCUAGUUGGUGAGGUAACGGCUCACCAAGGCGACGAUCCAUAGCUGGUCUGAGAGGAUGAUCAGCCACACUGGGACGUGAGACACGGCCCACGACUCCUACGGGAGGGCAGCAGUGGGGAAGUAUUGGACAAUGGGCGGCAAGCCUGAUCCAGCCAUGCCGCGUGAGUGAUG